UACAGAGGUCCCAAGCGUUGUUCGGAUUCACUGGGCGUAAAGGGUGCGCAGGUGGCAUGGCAAGUUUGAUGUGAAAUCUCCGGGCUCAACCCGGAAAUGGCAUUGAAUACUGUCGUGCUGGAGGUUUGGAGGGGGGACUGGAAUUCUCGGUGUAGCAGUGAAAUGCGUAGAUAUCGAGAGGAACACCAGUGGCGAAGGCGAGUCCCUGGACAACACCUGACACUGAGGCACGAAAGCCGGGGGAGCAAACAGG
RNAcentral lists this ribosomal RNA (253 nucleotides) under uncultured bacterium. RNAcentral describes it as "partial 16S ribosomal RNA". It matches the Rfam family "Bacterial small subunit ribosomal RNA", at positions 524 to 776 of the family's 1533-position model. The record is from RNAcentral.